AUGUCUGCAGACGUUGCCUCAUGUCCCCUGGGGGACACAUCAUCCCAUCCCCCGUGGAGAAGCCUGGGCCCAGGUCGCACAAACACUGGAAUCAGCUGCUCCAUCCACCUGAAGCCCAGACAGCCUGAUGUGGGGACACGGCCACUCGUGUUCUUUAUUUUUUUUUUAAGAUUUUAUUUAUUUAUUCAUGAGAGACACAAAGAGGGAGGCAGAGACAGGCAGAGGGAGAAGAAGGCUCCUCACAGGGACCCGGAUUGGGGACUUGAUCCCAGGACCCUGGGGUCACGACCUGAGCCGAAGGCAGAUCCUCGAUUGCUGAGCCACCCAGGCGUCCCGGUCACUCGUGUUCUGGAUGAAGAAAUGCACGGAGAGAGCGAACAGGGAAGCUAUCUAAGCAAACACACCUCUAAACCGGGGUCAGGCGCAAGCAUGAGGCCGUGUCUAUGCAGUCACCCUGCGCCGCUGAACCUCGCAGGAGAACACGACGUGGCUGCUCUUAUCUCCCCUUCACUGCACCGAUCGUGGCACUACACGUUUUCUAGAAUCAUUGCCUUGAAUCCUCGCCAGACAGAACAAAAAACACACCGCUGUUUGCAGAGGGGAGCACAGGGAGGUUAAGUGACAUGCCCAGGGUCACACACGGUGACCUUGCAGGUGUGGACACAUCCUCAGGCUUCUGUUUCUUGUUCUAUGCGUGAGUGGGGCCUCUGACCAUUCCCACCUUGUAGGAUGGGAAUACUGGUUCCCCCCCUUUCUCCUUCCUUCCUGUCCCUUCCCACUUGUGCAAGGGGCCUGGGGGCCCUGAGAGGAGGAACAAGGUGUGAGGCUGAGGGGGUGAGCGUCUAAAUUCCAGAGUGUCGGAAACUUGGGCCGGGGGCGAUGGCCCAGUCAGCUCCUUUGUGUCUCUAAACCUGAUACUGAGGCCAGAGAUUCUAGGUCCCAGCUCUGGUUUGCCUCUGCUCCCCAAGGGGCGGAGCUUGCAUCUCCAACCUGAGCCUCAGUUUCUCCAUCUAUAAGAUGAAAAGGCUGGCUUUGGUGGUCUGGGGUUCUUGGAGUUGGUAACGAUGGCUGUCACCGUCUCCAGCACUGACACCCUGAGAUUUCCUUGGUAAGUAAAGCCAUGUGGAAUGCCAUCUCCCCUCAAAGAUCAUGCAGCCCCCGGCCUCUAUAUCCACCCGAGGUCCACUGAGACCCCUGUCUCCUCUUCCACUCCUCUGGGCCCCGACAGCCAGGUGGACACAAAUAUGGUCGCUUCUAGGUGGCGGGUGGGGUGGGGCAGCCACACUGGUGUUCUCUCCUGGCAAAGCACCAGAGUCAGAGCUCUGGGAGCGCUGGGGGGGUCACCCCAACACGUCCCCCCACCCCCGCCCAGCCCUCUUCACAGGUGGCAGAGGGGCCCCGAGCCCUCCCUUUCGCACACACCUCUGCUUGGCCGCUGGUGCCUGCUGAGCCCGGGGAGGGCUGUCAAGCACUGCAGGUAUGUCACGUUAUCGCCCGGGCCGGCUCCAAGGCAAACAGAUAAAAAUGACACAGGGCCUUGUCGCAGCUGGCUUGGCUGCGGGCUGCAGGCUCCAAAGCAAGCCAGCUUUGGCCUUGCACCGUUCCGUGUGAAGGAACCGGAAAUGGGAACACCUUUAAAAUCUCGGUGCUGGCCUUGCGGGCUGCUUUGAAGAGCUUCUUCCUCCUGGCUGGUCAGGCCUGGCGGCCGGUGUAGACUGUGUGCAUGCGUCUGCUGCGGUGGCAUGGGCUGUUCGGAGGAGAGCGAGGAGAAGUCGAGCUAGUGUGAGGUAAGGAGCCCAGGAGACCCGUGGUUGGGGGGAACAGGCUAGGAGCGGACUAUGAAGAACACCACAGGGAUCCCUGGGUGGCGCAGCGGUUUAGCGCCUGCCUUUGGCCCAGGGCGCGAUCCUGGAGACCCGGGAUCGAAUCCCACGUCGGGCUCCCGGUGCAUGGAGCCUGCUUCUCCCUCUGCCUAUGUCUCUACCUCUCUCUCUCUCUGUGUGACUAUCAUAAAUAAAUAAAAAUUAAAAAAAAAAAAAAGAAUGUCA
Long non-coding RNA from Vulpes vulpes (red fox), 2048 nucleotides. The record is from Ensembl. Lineage: Eukaryota; Metazoa; Chordata; Mammalia; Carnivora; Canidae.